RNAcentral lists this unclassified non-coding RNA (200 nucleotides) under Phoma sp. RNAcentral's name for it is "partial internal transcribed spacer 2". The record is from RNAcentral. Lineage: Eukaryota; Fungi; Ascomycota; Dothideomycetes; Pleosporales; Didymellaceae.
UUAAGUUCAGCGGGUAUCCCUACCUGAUCCGAGGUCAAAAGUGUUAAAAUAGACUUGCUGGUUGCAAGUGAUUAUCAGAUAGAACCGCAAAUUGUGCUGCGCUUCUAUACCAAUACACUGGCUGCCAAUAUCUUUAAGGCGAGUCCAAACGCAAUGGAGAGGACAAACACCCAACACAAGCAUAGCUUGAGGGUACAAAU